GCAUCCAUAGCUGACUGGUGUAAGCGCCCCCCGGGCGGUCGAAUUAGUAGGUUCGAAUCAUACUGGAUGCC
This 71-nucleotide transfer RNA is filed under the name Codonopsis lanceolata. Its description in RNAcentral is "tRNA-Pro". It matches the Rfam family "tRNA". From Rfam's summary of the family: Transfer RNA (tRNA) molecules are approximately 80 nucleotides in length. Their secondary structure includes four short double-helical elements and three loops (D, anti-codon, and T loops). The record is from RNAcentral. Lineage: Eukaryota; Viridiplantae; Streptophyta; Magnoliopsida; Asterales; Campanulaceae.